GGGGACGUAGCUCAGUUGGAAGAGCACUACAAUGGCAUUGUAGGGGUCGUCGGUUCGAACCCGAUCGUCUCCACCA
RNAcentral lists this transfer RNA (76 nucleotides) under Opitutaceae bacterium. Its description in RNAcentral is "tRNA-Ala". It matches the Rfam family "tRNA". Rfam says of the family: Transfer RNA (tRNA) molecules are approximately 80 nucleotides in length. Their secondary structure includes four short double-helical elements and three loops (D, anti-codon, and T loops). Further hydrogen bonds mediate the characteristic L-shaped molecular structure. tRNAs have two regions of fundamental functional importance: the anti-codon, which is responsible for specific mRNA codon recognition, and the 3' end, to which the tRNAs corresponding amino acid is attached (by aminoacyl-tRNA synthetases). tRNAs cope with the degeneracy of the genetic code in two manners: having more than one tRNA (with a specific anti-codon) for a particular amino acid; and 'wobble' base-pairing, i.e. permitting non-standard base-pairing at the 3rd anti-codon position. RNAcentral also lists the same sequence under 1 other name. Lineage: Bacteria; Pseudomonadati; Verrucomicrobiota; Opitutia; Opitutales; Opitutaceae. The record is from RNAcentral.